CCUACGGGGGGCAGCAGCGGGGACUCUUGCGCAAUGGGCGAAAGCCUGACGCAGCAACGCCGCGUGAGUGAUGAAGGCCUUCGGGUUGUAAACCUCUGUCUUCAGGGACGAAAAAAAUGACGGUACCUGAGGAGGAAGCCCCGGCUAACUACGUGCCAGCAGCCGCGGUAAUACGGAGGGUGCGAGCGUUGUCCGGAUUUACUGGGCGUAAAGGGCGCGUAGGCGGGUUAUUAAGUCAGGUGGGAAAACCCCGGGCUCAACUUGGGGACUGCACCUGAUACUGAUGAUCUUGAGGGCAGGAGAGGAAAGCGGAAUUCCACGUGUAGCGGUGAAAUGCGUAGAGAUGUGGAGGAACACCAGUGGCGAAGGCGGCUUUCUGGUCUGUAACUGACGCUGAGGCGCGAAAGCGUGGGGAGCAAACAGGAUUAGAUACCCUUGUAGUC
This 443-nucleotide ribosomal RNA is filed under the name Salmonella enterica subsp. enterica serovar Anatum. RNAcentral's name for it is "bacterial SSU rRNA". It matches the Rfam family "Bacterial small subunit ribosomal RNA", at positions 338 to 795 of the family's 1533-position model. The record is from RNAcentral. Lineage: Bacteria; Pseudomonadati; Pseudomonadota; Gammaproteobacteria; Enterobacterales; Enterobacteriaceae.